RNAcentral lists this long non-coding RNA (1666 nucleotides) under Homo sapiens (human). Its description in RNAcentral is "non-protein coding LINC01554:12". The record is from RNAcentral. Lineage: Eukaryota; Metazoa; Chordata; Mammalia; Primates; Hominidae.
GUCAGUGUAGAAAGCCCAGGCAUUGUCCCAUAGCUGGCCCUGUGUGUUUGCACUGAUUCCUCAGAAUAAGUUUGCAGAUAGCUUAACUUCCAGAAUUCCUGAGUUUCACUAGUCCCCCUUCUUUAUGAUGAAUUGGAAAAAGGGUAUAUUCUGGGAUAAAGCAAGAGGAAACUGGGUGCAGCAAAGAUCCCUAGACCAUUUUUCCCAGUGGCCCAUUGCUCCUGCUGCUUUUUUCAUACCAGCUGAAUCUCCCUAAACCCCACGUCUGCGGCAAAGUCUUCGUGGUGAAACAGGCAGUCUUCAGUACAAGAAGCGUCAAUCUCAGAUCUUACUCAUUUCCAACCUGUACCAAUCAAAGGCCCUCCCAGCCAAGAUAAAAGCAAAGUCUCCCUCCUCCAGAGCACAUGGGAAUGGCCCCCCAGUAGCUGGGGCAUGCAAGCUAAUGAAGUUUCAUCUUCCACCUCUAUCCAAAUAUGACCUUGCUGAUACCAUCUCCUAUUAGAUGACAAAUCCGGAUGUUUCUAUUGCAUGGUUGUUAUUUGCCACAUGCUUCCUGGACAAGUUUCUAGGUAACCUUAAUGUCUGUGCUUCUGGGGAAGGAGGAGUAGAAAAUAACUCACCUCUUCAGUAAGUGGUUUUAAAAAUAUAACAGUGUUUAAAAGCUUUUAGAGAGCAGCUCUCCUUCCGGCUGCUCCAGCUCUGUUUGCUUUGUGAUAGGAGCCCCCGUAACACUUCGUGCUUGGCAACAUCUGACGAGGACAGAAGGCAGGUUUAAAGCUGAGAAGAUUGAUUUUUCCUUUGUAGGGCUUUCCAUGAGGGGCGUGGGAGAGAAGUCACUUGGGGAAGCAGUGGUCAGUGAGGUUUACUUCUCCAUAUGCUCUGCAUUCAUGUGUAAGGCUAAACAAACGUGUUGUCUCCGCAAGCAAAUCCCACACCACAGAGAGGAGCAGUUUGUCCUGGAGGUCCUAAGGAGGUGACCAGUGACCUGGAGGGUAAAAGGUUGGGGCUCCUGAGACCUUUCUUCCAACUCUCAUUUCCAUCCUAAACUGGCAGGGGAAAUGUACCCAAAUUGCCUGUGUGUUUCGAUUUGAUGUGGACACACUGUGACCACUCAGGAUCGCUCUGGUGCUGCUGAACUCCAUGGUUCAUAUUAGGCCCGACUGUCUAGUUUUAGAAAGUGGGAGGAGAUUUCCCCUCUGCCAGGGCUUGGGGUUUAUGUUCCCCAGAGCAUUGAGCAAGAGCCUCAUGUUUACAGAAAUCUCAGGCCCCAUGAUUUCUUCCUGUCAGGGUAGAAGGAGAAGGAGUAGGCACAGACUGUGGAGUAGAUCUUGCCACUUCAGUCCCUUUGUUCUUGCCCAGCAUGAGGUUACCAAGGAAAGGAUACCUGGGGCGCUGGGGGUGAGGCCAGCUGCCAUGUGUCAGGACACUCAGGCAGCCUGUGGAAAGCUGCACAUGGUGAGGAACAGAGGGCUCCAGUCAAACGACCAAUGCCAACAACCAUGUAAGUGAGCUUGGAAGUGGAUUCCCCAGCCCCUGUCAAGCCUUGAGACAACUGCCAUCCCAGUCAAUAGCUUGGUUGCAACCUUGUAUGAGAUCCUGAACUCAAACCAUCCAACUAAGCUGCUCCUAGAAACUGUGUGAGAUAAUAAAUGCUUGUUGUUUUAAG